UAUUUGAGUUUCUUACUUUCUUUUGCAAGUUCCAAAAGGUGCUUUUGAGUUUUGAUGAAUAGAUCAACCAUUAGGAACAUAACUCCACAUACAAUACACUCAACAAAAGUAAUCUGAGGUGCAAUUCAGGAUAGAUUAGUGAUAGAAAAAGGUAACUUAUAUGUGGAAAAUCAAACUAAUAACAACAUUAGUAGAAAGAGCAUUAAAUAGAACCAUAAUUGCACCCGUAUCUUCAAGCCUUCAGCCUUUAACUCUUUUUGCAUCUCUCUGUUACUCUUCUUGCUCCUGUACUAGUUCUGGUGGAAACUUUUGAUGAGUUCUUUCUCAUCAUUAAGUUGUAAAGAACUCUUUUAUGUCUAUAAAACUCUUCUAUUGUUAUUUGAAAGAGGUCAGAUAUAUAAAUGGAGGCUAAUGAGGGUUCUUGAGAGAUCAGUUUGUCUAUCUCGAGAAAAUGAUAAAAAAGAAGCACUUCAAUUGUUUGGAAUACUUUUACGAAAUUGCCUCGUACUAGAGAAAGUGAAAGGUUAAAAGAUCAAUGUCAGGUAUGUAAGGAAGUAUUUUUACCCGAUGCUGGUACUUCAAAUAUGAUGCAUCAUAUAGCUAUACACUUGGAUAACAGACAAGAACACAGAUAUGCACCAUUUAUCAAAUAACUUAUCAUGAGAAAGUGUCUGUUGCUAUUGUAAAGCAUAAAAUUAUCCUUUUAGAUUUGUUGAACAUCAAUGAAAUAGGGAUAUCCAUUCGUACUUAAAUGCAAUGGUAAAAAAUAUUUCAACAAAUAAAACUAAGGCUGAUAUAUUAAAAUUAUAUGAAAGGGAUAAAGAAUUUUUAAAGUGUGAGCUUGCAAUGAUUCCUAGUAGAAUUAUCUGACUUCAGACAUGUGGACUUCCGUAGUAUCAAAUGUUUUUAACCUCUUAUUAUGUUGAUUUGAAUUGGAAUCUUCAAAAAAGAGUGUUAAUCUUUCGUCAUGUUCUGUCUCCAGAUUCUGGUUCAGUUUUAGGUCCUUUACUUGUCGAGUUUAUUAAGAAAUGGGGCAUUGAAAAAAAGAUUUUCACUCUUACUUUGGAUAAUGCUAGUUGCAAUAAUGGUGUGGUAGAUUAUUUAAAAGAAUAUUUAUCUCUAAUGCGUUCUUUAGUUUGUGAUGGAAAGUUCUUUCAUGUUGGUUAUGGGAACCAUAUUUUGAAUUUAAUAGUGAAGGCUAGUUUGGAAAAAGAAGAUGAAGCUAUUGAAAAAGUAAGAGAAGGUGUUAAGAACAUUAAACAUUCAGAAGGAAGAAUAUUGAAAUUUAUGGAAUGCAUUGACAAUCAUGGGUUACUGUGUUCAAAGAAGCUUCGCCAAGAUGUAAUUACUCAUUGGAAUUCCACUUACUAGAUGCUUGAUAGUUCUCUACCAACAAGAUUAUAUUCAAUAUAAAAUCCUUGAUAUUAAUUUUAACUAUAGUCUUUCAGAGGAAGAAUCUAAAAGGGUAGAGAGUAUUACUAAAUUUUUGAAGCCAUUUUAUGAGAUCAUUACACUAUUUUGUAGAAGCAAAUAUCCAACUGCAAAUUUGUAUUUACCGAAUAUAUGGAAAAUUCAAAUGUUGCUAAAGGAAGCAGAAAAUAGCAGUGACCGAGUUAUGAAUAAUAUAGCUACAUUGAUUCUAUAGAAGUUUAAAAAAUAUUUGAGGUCGUAUAGUAUGAUUUUAUCAAUUUCCAUUGUCCUUGAUCCCCGAUAUAAAUUGAAUUUUGUGAAAUUUUGCUUUGCUAAGAUAGAUCCUAUGACCGUUGAUGUUAAGGUUGAAAAAGUUGUAGAUCAUUUACAAUUGUUAUUUAGAAAAUACUUGAGACCUCCAACCACAAUUUCUCUCUUAGGGGAGAACGUUUUUGAUACAAGCAACAAUGAAACGAGGGAUGAUCUUGAGGAAUUUGACAUGUUUGAGAAUCAGUUGGAGUCUCGUAAAGAUAAAACACAAUUAGAUUUGUACUUGAAGGAGCCAAAACUUUAUCGUAAAGUGAAUCCAAAUUUGGAUGUACUUGAAUAUUAGAAGGAAAAUAGAGAAAGAUAUCCAGAACUCUCAUUGAUGGCACAAGAUAUCUUGAGCAUACCUAUUACCAUGGUAACUUCAAAAUAUACCUUUAGGAUUGGAGGUUGUAUUAUUGAAAAGUUUCAAAGUUCUAUUUUACCUGCAAACGCUGAAGCAAAGUUGUGUGCUAAAGAUUGGCUAUGCGAAAAAGAAGAUUGUGAUGGAUCAAACACCGAUGAGGAUGAAAUUUCCAUAGAACUUCAGCUGUAUCUUGCUAAACUUGGCUCACAUUGAUAGAGAUGAUUCCUGCCUUUAUAAUUUGGUAUGUCUGGACAUGGAGGAAUGGAAUCAUGGAUGCUUUGAUGGAAUCCUUCAGCCACUGGCAGUGAAGACGAUGUUGAAGGAUGCUGAAGAUUGUGAGUUUAUCUUGAUGGUUGUAGUGGCAGUGAAGAUUGCCCCAUAAAGAAGCCACUUGCUUAACUUCAUCUUAAUGCUGAAGAUUCCUAGCAUCCUGUUGCACUGAUGGUUGCUGCACUGCUGGAGAUUGAUCAAAUAUAUUUUAUUUUUUUGUUUAGUUUCUUGUUUUUGAAAAGAUGACAUUCAUGCAAUUUUGACAUGAUGAUAAUGGUUG
Solanum dulcamara is the source of this 2633-nucleotide long non-coding RNA. RefSeq lists it as uncharacterized. The record is from RefSeq and is a predicted model, not a curated record. The transcript is spliced from 3 exons. NCBI's taxonomy places the organism in Eukaryota, Viridiplantae, Streptophyta, Magnoliopsida, Solanales, Solanaceae.